CAAUAGCGUAUAUUGAAGUUGUUGCAGUUAAAAAGCUCGUAGUUGGAUUUCGGAUGGGACUUGCCGGUCCGUCGUUUCGAUGUGCACUGGCCAGUCCUAUCUUGUUGUCGGGGACUAGCUCCUGGGCUUCACUGUCCGGGACUAGGAGCUGACGAGGUUACUUUGAGUAAAUUAGAGUGUUCAAAGCAAGCCUACGCUCUGAAUACAUUAGCAUGGAAUAACACGAUAGGACUCUGGCUUAUCUUGUUGGUCUGUGAGACCAGAGUAAUGAUUAAGAGGGACAGUCGGGGGCAUUCGUAUUUCAUUGUCAGAGGUGAAAUUCUUGGAUUUAUGAAAGACGAACUUCUGCGAAAGCAUUUGUCAAGGAUGUUUUCAUUAA
RNAcentral lists this ribosomal RNA (379 nucleotides) under uncultured eukaryote. RNAcentral's name for it is "partial 18S ribosomal RNA". It matches the Rfam family "Eukaryotic small subunit ribosomal RNA", at positions 592 to 976 of the family's 1831-position model. The record is from RNAcentral.